GGGUUGUGAGGUUAAGCGACUAAGCGUACACGGUGGAUGCCCUGGCAGUCAGAGGCGAUGAAGGACGUGCUAAUCUGCGAAAAGCGUCGGUAAGGUGAUAUGAACCGUUAUAACCGGCGAUGUCCGAAUGGGGAAACCCAGUGCAAUUCGUUGCACUAUCGUUAACUGAAUACAUAGGUUAACGAGGCGAACCGGGGAACUGAAACAUCUAAGUACCCCGAGGAAAAGAAAUCAACCGAGAUUCCCCCAGUAGCGGCGAGCGAACGGGGAGCAGCCCAGAGUCUGAAUCAGCUUGUGUGUUAGUGGAACGGUCUGGAAAGUCCGACGGUACAGGGUGAUAGUCCCGUACACCAAAAUGCACAGGCUGUGAACUCGAAGAGUAGGGCGGGACACGUGGUAUCCUGUCUGAAUAUGGGGGGACCAUCCUCCAAGGCUAAAUACUCCUGACUGACCGAUAGUGAACCAGUACCGUGAGGGAAAGGCGAAAAGAACCCCGGCGAGGGGAGUGAAAAAGAACCUGAAACCGUGUACGUACAAGCAGUGGGAGCACCUUCGGGUGUGACUGCGUACCUUUUGUAUAAUGGGUCAGCGACUUAUAUUCUGUAGCAAGGUUAACCGUAUAGGGGAGCCGCAGGGAAACCGAGUCUUAACUGGGCGUUAAGUUGCAGGGUAUAGACCCGAAACCCGGUGAUCUAGCCAUGGGCAGGUUGAAGGUUGGGUAACACUAACUGGAGGACCGAACCGACUAAUGUUGAAAAAUUAGCGGAUGACUUGUGGCUGGGGGUGAAAGGCCAAUCAAACCGGGAGAUAGCUGGUUCUCCCGAAAGCUAUUUAGGUAGCGCCUCGUGAACUCAUCUUCGGGGUAGAGCACUGUUUCGGCUAGGGGGUCAUCCCGACUUACCAACCCGAUGCAAACUACGAAUACCGAAGAAUGUUAUCACGGGAGACACACGGCGGGUGCUAACGUCCGUCGUGAAGAGGGAAACAACCCAGACCGCCAGCUAAGGUCCCAAAGUCAUGGUUAAGUGGGAAACGAUGUGGGAAGGCACAGACAGCCAGGAUGUUGGCUUAGAAGCAGCCAUCAUUUAAAGAAAGCGUAAUAGCUCACUGGUCGAGUCGGCCUGCGCGGAAGAUGUAACGGGGCUAAACCAUGCACCGAAGCUGCGGCAGCGACACUAUGUGUUGUUGGGUAGGGGAGCGUUCUGUAAGCCUGCGAAGGUGUGCUGUGAGGCAUGCUGGAGGUAUCAGAAGUGCGAAUGCUGACAUAAGUAACGAUAAAGCGGGUGAAAAGCCCGCUCGCCGGAAGACCAAGGGUUCCUGUCCAACGUUAAUCGGGGCAGGGUGAGUCGACCCCUAAGGCGAGGCCGAAAGGCGUAGUCGAUGGGAAACAGGUUAAUAUUCCUGUACUUGGUGUUACUGCGAAGGGGGACGGAGAAGGCUAUGUUAGCCGGGCGACGGUUGUCCCGGUUUAAGCAUGUAGGCUGAUUGUCCAGGCAAAUCCGGAUAAUCAAGGCUGAGGUGUGAUGACGAGGCACUACGGUGCUGAAGUAACAAAUGCCCUGCUUCCAGGAAAAGCCUCUAAGCAUCAGGUAACAUCAAAUCGUACCCCAAACCGACACAGGUGGUCAGGUAGAGAAUACCAAGGCGCUUGAGAGAACUCGGGUGAAGGAACUAGGCAAAAUGGUGCCGUAACUUCGGGAGAAGGCACGCUGGUGUGUAGGUGAAGUCCCUGCGGAUGGAGCUGAGACCAGUCGAAGAUACCAGCUGGCUGCAACUGUUUAUUAAAAACACAGCACUGUGCAAACACGAAAGUGGACGUAUACGGUGUGACGCCUGCCCGGUGCCGGAAGGUUAAUUGAUGGGGUUAUCCGUAAGGAGAAGCUCUUGAUCGAAGCCCCGGUAAACGGCGGCCGUAACUAUAACGGUCCUAAGGUAGCGAAAUUCCUUGUCGGGUAAGUUCCGACCUGCACGAAUGGCGUAAUGAUGGCCAGGCUGUCUCCACCCGAGACUCAGUGAAAUUGAACUCGCUGUGAAGAUGCAGUGUACCCGCGGCAAGACGGAAAGACCCCGUGAACCUUUACUAUAGCUUGACACUGAACAUUGAGCCUUGAUGUGUAGGAUAGGUGGGAGGCUUUGAAGCGUGGACGCCAGUCUGCGUGGAGCCAACCUUGAAAUACCACCCUUUAAUGUUUGAUGUUCUAACGUUGGCCCCUGACCGGGGUUGCGGACAGUGUCUGGUGGGUAGUUUGACUGGGGCGGUCUCCUCCCAAAGCGUAACGGAGGAGCACGAAGGUUAGCUAAUCCUGGUCGGACAUCAGGAGGUUAGUGCAAUGGCAUAAGCUAGCUUGACUGCGAGCGUGACGGCGCGAGCAGGUGCGAAAGCAGGUCAUAGUGAUCCGGUGGUUCUGAAUGGAAGGGCCAUCGCUCAACGGAUAAAAGGUACUCCGGGGAUAACAGGCUGAUACCGCCCAAGAGUUCAUAUCGACGGCGGUGUUUGGCACCUCGAUGUCGGCUCAUCACAUCCUGGGGCUGAAGUAGGUCCCAAGGGUAUGGCUGUUCGCCAUUUAAAGUGGUACGCGAGCUGGGUUUAGAACGUCGUGAGACAGUUCGGUCCCUAUCUGCCGUGGGCGCUGGAGAAUUGAGGGGGCUGCUCCUAGUACGAGAGGACCGGAGUGGACGCAUCACUGGUGUUCGGGUUGUCAUGCCAAUGGCACUGCCCGGUAGCUAAAUGCGGAAGAGAUAAGUGCUGAAAGCAUCUAAGCACGAAACUUGCCCCGAGAUGAGUUCUCCCUGAGACUUUAAGUCUCCUGAAGGAACGUUAAAGACGAUGACGUUGAUAGGCCGGGUGUGUAAGCGCAGCGAUGCGUUGAGCUAACCGGUACUAAUGAACCGUGAGGCUUAACCUUACAACGCCGAAG
This 2918-nucleotide ribosomal RNA is filed under the name Klebsiella pneumoniae. RNAcentral's name for it is "23S ribosomal RNA". It matches the Rfam family "Bacterial large subunit ribosomal RNA". Lineage: Bacteria; Pseudomonadati; Pseudomonadota; Gammaproteobacteria; Enterobacterales; Enterobacteriaceae. The record is from RNAcentral.